UGCAGGAGGGCAGCAGCCUCGACGCGGCGAUCACGUCGCUCCUUAGCGUGGAGAUGUAGUGCCACCUGGCCGGCAGAAGGAAGUCCGCCGAUCGUCAAGAUCUGCUUCAAGGACGGCGCCUGGAAGAAGCUCAAUGACCAGAUCAUCGUCCUCUCCAAGAGGAGGGGUCAGUUCAAGCAGGUUGGUCCGCUGUCUACAGGUGCUCGUUAUUCUGGCCAGUUUGUCGUGCUCUAUCUUCGACCACCUCUUUGCAGUAACUUUUUCCCGCCUUGCUGGAGGAGAUGAAGCACAUGGCAAAGCAGGAGUUCAUU
Molecule: non-coding RNA, 311 nt
Organism: Aegilops tauschii subsp. strangulata
Lineage: Eukaryota; Viridiplantae; Streptophyta; Magnoliopsida; Poales; Poaceae
Source: RefSeq, a predicted model, not a curated record